GACACAAAGUUAAAAGGCGCUUCGGCGUCACCUAGAGAUGGAUCCGCGGUGCAUUAGUUAGUUGGUGGGGUAAAGGCCUACCAAGACAAUGAUGCAUAGCCGAGUUGAGAGACUGAUCGGCCACAUUGGGACUGAGACACGGCCCAAACUCCUACGGGAGGCUGCAGUAGGGAAUCUUCCACAAUGGGCGAAAGCCUGAUGGAGCAACGCCGCGUGUGUGAUGAAGGCUUUCGGGUCGUAAAGCACUGUUGUAUGGGAAGAACAGCUAGAAUAGGAAAUGAUUUUAGUUUGACGGUACCAUACCAGAAAGGGACGGCUAAAUACGUGCCAGCAGCCGCGGUAAUACGUAUGUCCCGAGCGUUAUCCGGAUUUAUUGGGCGUAAAGCGAGCGCAGACGGUUUAUUAAGUCUGAUGUGAAAGCCCGGAGCUCAACUCCGGAAUGGCAUUGGAAACUGGUUAACUUGAGUGCAGUAGAGGUAAGUGGAACUCCAUGUGUAGCGGUGGAAUGCGUAGAUAUAUGGAAGAACACCAGUGGCGAAGGCGGCUUACUGGACUGCAACUGACGUUGAGGCUCGAAAGUGUGGGUAGCAAACAGGAUUAGAUACCCUGGUAGUCCACACCGUAAACGAUGAACACUAGGUGUUAGGAGGUUUCCGCCUCUUAGUGCCGAAGCUAACGCAUUAAGUGUUCCGCCUGGGGAGUACGACCGCAAGGUUGAAACUCAAAGGAAUUGACGGGGACCCGCACAAGCGGUGGAGCAUGUGGUUUAAUUCGAAGCAACGCGAAGAACCUUACCAGGUCUUGACAUCCUUUGAAGCUUUUAGAGAUAGAAGUGUUCUCUUCGGAGACAAAGUGACAGGUGGUGCAUGGUCGUCGUCAGCUCGUGUCGUGAGAUGUUGGGUUAAGUCCCGCAACGAGCGCAACCCUUAUUGUUAGUUGCCAGCAUUCAGAUGGGCACUCUAGCGAGACUGCCGGUGACAAACCGGAGGAAGGCGGGGACGACGUCAGAUCAUCAUGCCCCUUAUGACCUGGGCUACACACGUGCUAC
RNAcentral lists this ribosomal RNA (1048 nucleotides) under Leuconostoc mesenteroides subsp. mesenteroides. Its description in RNAcentral is "bacterial SSU rRNA". It matches the Rfam family "Bacterial small subunit ribosomal RNA", at positions 191 to 1228 of the family's 1533-position model. Lineage: Bacteria; Bacillati; Bacillota; Bacilli; Lactobacillales; Lactobacillaceae. The record is from RNAcentral.